Molecule: unclassified non-coding RNA, 361 nt
Filed under: soil metagenome
Description: partial contains 5.8S ribosomal RNA, internal transcribed spacer 2, and large subunit ribosomal RNA
Rfam family: 5.8S ribosomal RNA (bases 1-119)
Source: RNAcentral
GAUGAAGAACGCAGCGAAAUGCGAUAAGUAAUGCGAAUUGCAGAAUCCGUGAGUCAUCGAAUCUUUGAACGCACCUUGCGCUCCUUGGUAUUCCGAGGAGCAUGCCUGUUUGAGUGUCAUUAAUAUAUCAACCUUCUCUUUUUUGAGUUGUUUGGAUGUGGGGGUUUGCUGGCCUCUUAAAUGAUUCAGCUCCCCUGAAAUGCAUUAGCAGAACAACCUGUUCAUUAGCGUGAUAAUUAUCUAUGCUAUUGAAUGUGAGGGCAGUUCAGCUUUCUAACCGUCCUUGGACAAUUCAUCAUUAAUGUGACCUCAAAUCAGGUAGGACUACCCGCUGAACUUAAGCAUAUCAAUAAGCGGAGGA